This 253-nucleotide ribosomal RNA is filed under the name uncultured bacterium. RNAcentral's name for it is "partial 16S ribosomal RNA". It matches the Rfam family "Bacterial small subunit ribosomal RNA", at positions 524 to 776 of the family's 1533-position model. The record is from RNAcentral.
UACAGAGGGUGCAAGCGUUGUUCGGAAUUAUUGGGCGUAAAGCGCGUGUAGGCGGCUUUGCAAGUCGGGUGUGAAAGCCCUCGGCUCAACCGAGGAAGUGCGCCCGAAACUGCAGAGCUUGAGUACCGGAGAGGAUGGCGGAAUUCCCCAAGUAGAGGUGAAAUUCGUAGAUAUGGGGAGGAACACCGGUGGCGAAGGCGGCCAUCUGGACGGAUACUGACGCUGAGGCACGAAAGCGUGGGGAGCAAACAGG